UACAAUGUUUUGACUAUUCGUCUUACUUAAAAUUAUUUUUGCGAUUAAUAUUUUUGUUCUUACUAAAUGAUAAAACAUGAAUAGUAUGCGUACUAAUUUUUUUAAGUUUUCAUACAAAAAUUUUAAAUAAGACGAAUGAUCAAACGUUAGACACGAAAA
This 159-nucleotide microRNA precursor is filed under the name Oryza brachyantha (malo sina). RNAcentral describes it as "MIR812 microRNA precursor family". It matches the Rfam family "MIR812 microRNA precursor family", at positions 27 to 187 of the family's 205-position model. The record is from Rfam by way of RNAcentral. Lineage: Eukaryota; Viridiplantae; Streptophyta; Magnoliopsida; Poales; Poaceae.